Small nuclear RNA from Pteronotus mesoamericanus, 107 nucleotides. NCBI's taxonomy places the organism in Eukaryota, Metazoa, Chordata, Mammalia, Chiroptera, Mormoopidae. The record is from RefSeq and is a predicted model, not a curated record.
GUGCUCACUUCAGCAGCACACAUAUUAAAAUUGGAACAACACAGAGAAGAUCAGCACUGUCCCUGAACAAGGAUGACAUGCAAAUUGGCGAAGCAUUUCAUGUUUUU